RNAcentral lists this unclassified non-coding RNA (408 nucleotides) under soil metagenome. RNAcentral's name for it is "partial contains 5.8S ribosomal RNA, internal transcribed spacer 2, and large subunit ribosomal RNA". The stretch from base 1 to 120 matches the Rfam family "5.8S ribosomal RNA", at positions 35 to 154 of the family's 154-position model. The record is from RNAcentral.
GAUGAAGAACGUAGCGAAAUGCGAUAAGUAAUGCGAAUUGCAGAAUUCAGUGAAUCAUCGAAUCUUUGAACGCACCUUGCGCUCCUUGGCAUUCCGAGGAGCAUGCCUGUUUGAGUGUCAUUAAAUUCUCAAGACCUGUCUGCUUUUUUGAUAGGUAUUGGAUUUUGGGGGUUGCAGGCUGUUUCAAAUAAAUAGCCUUGCUCUCCUUGAAUGUAUUAGUGGAGAAAAGCCAUUGAACUCCAUUGGUGUGAUAAAACCUAUCAAUGCCAGGAGCAAUAUCACUACUUCUCUCUGCUGUCUAACUGUGACUGUCUGUAUUAAUUAGUAUGGAUGGGGACAACUUGACCAACUUGACCUCAAAUCAGGUAGGACUAACCGCGGAACUUAAGCAUAUCAAUAAGCGGAGGA